Molecule: ribosomal RNA, 805 nt
Filed under: uncultured bacterium
Lineage: Bacteria
Description: bacterial SSU rRNA
Rfam family: Bacterial small subunit ribosomal RNA
Source: RNAcentral
AGUCGACGAACACUUAUCUUUGAUUCUUCGGAUGAAGAGAUUUGUGACUGAGUGGCGGACGGGUGAGUAACGCGUGGGUAACCUGCCUCAUACAGGGGGAUAACAGUUAGAAAUGACUGCUAAUACCGCAUAAGACCACAGAGCCGCAUGGCUCGGUGGGAAAAACUCCGGUGGUAUGAGAUGGACCCGCGUCUGAUUAGGUAGUUGGUGGGGUAACGGCCUACCAAGCCAACGAUCAGUAGCCGACCUGAGAGGGUGACCGGCCACAUUGGGACUGAGACACGGCCCAAACUCCUACGGGAGGCAGCAGUGGGGAAUAUUGCACAAUGGGGGAAACCCUGAUGCAGCGACGCCGCGUGAGCGAAGAAGUAUUUCGGUAUGUAAAGCUCUAUCAGCAGGGAAGAAAAUGACGGUACCUGACUAAGAAGCACCGGCUAAAUACGUGCCAGCAGCCGCGGUAAUACGUAUGGUGCAAGCGUUAUCCGGAUUUACUGGGUGUAAAGGGAGCGUAGACGGAUGUGUAAGUCUGAAGUGAAAGCCCGGGGCUCAACCCCGGGACUGCUUUGGAAACUAUGCAGCUAGAGUGUCGGAGAGGUAAGUGGAAUUCCCAGUGUAGCGGUGAAAUGCGUAGAUAUUGGGAGGAACACCAGUGGCGAAGGCGGCUUACUGGACGAUGACUGACGUUGAGGCUCGAAAGCGUGGGGAGCAAACAGGAUUAGAUACCCUGGUAGUCCACGCCGUANACGAUGACUACUNGGUGUCGGGGAGCAAAGCUCUUCGGUGCCGCAGCAAACGCAAUAAGUAG